RNAcentral lists this long non-coding RNA (1035 nucleotides) under Daphnia magna. RNAcentral describes it as "uncharacterized LOC116923181, transcript variant X3". The record is from RNAcentral. Lineage: Eukaryota; Metazoa; Arthropoda; Branchiopoda; Diplostraca; Daphniidae.
UCAUAAAUCACACUUGAAAUGAUAGCUAAAGGGAGACAGCAGACGAAAUCACCUCGCCUCAAGUACUAAACAGCCUCCUCAAUUACAAUUCUUCAAAGUGAUAAUUAUUUUUAUGCUUUUUUCCAAUUGCAUUUAAAGUAAAAUGUAAUUAUUCAAUUCCUUUUGUUUCAAAGUGAAAGUCUUUCAAGAUAUUUACACCUGAAUGAAGAAAAUGUCGUAAUAAUUGAAAUUGUAUUUUUAAAACGCCCUCAGGCAGACGGACAUGAAACCUGGCAUUAGUCAUAAAUGGCAGGUCAAGAAAAGAAAGGCUAAGGGCAGAAAUGAUCACAAACAAUGAGCCAAAAUCUUUUAUUUUACUAAUUGGUUCUGUUUACUUUACACAUAUUUCUUGUUGCUUUUGUUUGUUUUUUUUUGUUUUUUUUGCCAAAGAUUGCCAGAGGCACACAGAUUCCAUGAUGCAGAAGCAUUUUCACUCGGCUGCACAACAGACGACGGUCCGACAUCCCCCCUGCUGAACAAAUGACUCAUUGAUUCCUGAGACCCUUGUACGAUGAGACGAACAUGAAUAGCGAUGACGAUCAAAGCAGACGAAAAAACAAGGUCGUUGCGGAUCUGCUGUUUCAGCACCAUGCUGUGUUUCUUGCCAGCCUCCAGCUCACAGAUCUUCUCUCCCCUAAUAAGGUAGCGAGAGACACAGGCACCGAGUGGGAUAUUUAUAUAUAUACAUCAGGUGUGUCAGUGUGUGUAUGUGUAUACGUAUGGCCGUAAAUGAGGGGCCCAGAUGGAAGCGGCACACAACAGCAGCCGCAUCGUUGGCAGGAAACAUGUAAUAUUCAUAUAGAUAUAUACACAUACACGGAUGGUCGAUAAAUUCCCGAGCCAACGUGUGACGCAAGUUGGACAACACCUUGGCCGUUAACCAUGGCUCAAAAACAAACACAACAGCCUUGCCAGUUUUUUUUUUCUUCCUUUUUACCUAGUUCAAAUGAUUACAAAAAAAAAAAACUAAUAAAUACAACAAAUGACUUGAUUUGA